GUGGGGAAUCUUAGACAAUGGGCGCAAGCCUGAUCUAGCCAUGCCGCGUGAUCGAUGAAGGCCUUAGGGUUGUAAAGAUCUUUCAGUGGGGAAGAUAAUGACUGUACCCACAGAAGAAGCCCCGGCUAACUCCGUGCCAGCAGCCGCGGUAAUACGGAGGGGGCUAGCGUUGUUCGGAAUUACUGGGCGUAAAGCGCACGUAGGCGGAACAGAAAGUCAGAGGUGAAAUCCCAGGGCUCAACCUUGGAACUGCCUUUGAAACUCCUGUUCUUGAGUUCGAGAGAGGUGAGUGGAAUUCCGAGUGUAGAGGUGAAAUUCGUAGAUAUUCGGAGGAACACCAGUGGCGAAGGCGGCUUACUGGUCCAUUACUGACGCUGAGGUGCGAAAGCGUGGGGAGCAAACAGGAUUAGAUACCCUUGUAGUCC
RNAcentral lists this ribosomal RNA (425 nucleotides) under uncultured bacterium. RNAcentral's name for it is "partial 16S ribosomal RNA". It matches the Rfam family "Bacterial small subunit ribosomal RNA", at positions 354 to 796 of the family's 1533-position model. The record is from RNAcentral.